CACGCCGCGUGAGGGAUGAAGGCCUCUGGGCUGUAAACCUCUUUUAUCAAGGAAGAAGAUCUGACGGUACUUGAUGAAUAAGCCACGGCUAAUUCCGUGCCAGCAGCCGCGGUAAUACGGGAGUGGCAAGCGUUAUCCGGAAUUAUUGGGCGUAAAGCGUCCGCAGGCGGUUUUACAAGUCUGUCGUUAAAACGUGGAGCUCAACUCCAUUUCGGCGAUGGAAACUGUAAGACUAGAGUGUGGUAGGGGCAGAGGGAAUUCCCGGUGUAGCGGUGAAAUGCGUAGAUAUCGGGAAGAACACCAGUGGCGAAGGCGCUCUGCUGGGCCAUAACUGACGCUCAUGGACGAAAGCCAGGGGAGCGAAAGGGAUUAGAUACCCCUGUAGUCCUGGCCGUAAACGAUGAACACUAGGUGUCGGGGGAAUCGACCCCCUCGGUGUCGUAGCCAACGCGUUAAGUGUUCCGCCUGGGGAGUACGCACGCAAGUGUG
Molecule: ribosomal RNA, 489 nt
Filed under: uncultured cyanobacterium
Lineage: Bacteria; Bacillati; Cyanobacteriota
Description: bacterial SSU rRNA
Rfam family: Bacterial small subunit ribosomal RNA
Source: RNAcentral